GCAGGUUGAAGCGCGGGUAAGACCGCGUGGAGGACCGAACCCACCUGGGUUGAAAACCGGGGGGAUGACCUGGGGCUAGGGGUGAAAGGCCAAUCAAAUUCCGUGAUAGCUGGUUCUCUCCGAAAUGCAUUUAGGUGCAGCGUCGGUCGAUUGCGUCGCGGGGGUAGAGCUACCGGAUGCUUGCGGGCCCUUGUUGGGUACCAACAGCAGCCGAACUCCGAAUACCGUUGACGUGUAUUCCGGCAGUGAGUCGGCGGGGGAUAAGCUCCGUCGUCGAGAGGGAGACAGCCCAGACCGUCGUCUAAGGUCCCGAAGCGUGUGCUAAGUGGGAAAGGAUGUGGAGUCGCAUAGACAGCCAGGAGGUUGGCUCAGAAGCAGCCAUCCUUGAAAGAGUGCGUAACAGCUCACUGGUCUAGUGGUUCCGCGCCGACAAUGUAGCGGGGCUCAAGCACACCACCGAAGACGCGGCAGCAAUCUUCAUGGUUGCUGGGUAGGAGAGCGUCCUGCGAGGGGCGAAGCGGCCGGGUAACCGUGCCGUGGACUUCGUGGGAGUGAGAAUGCAGACAUGAGUAGCGAGAGACGGGUGAGGAUCCCGUCCGCUGGAUGACCAAGGGUUCCGGGGCCACGUUCGUCGUCCCCGGGUGAGUCGGGUCCUAAGGCGAGGCCGACAGGCGUAGUCGAAUGGAUGAACGGGUGGAUAUUCCCGUACCGACCAUGGACCGGCAAAACCGAGACGGUGAGUACUAACCUCCGCCUCGUGGUGGUUCCUUCCUUCGGGUUGGUAUCGCCGCGUGGUGUUGGGAGCGUAGCCGCAGUAGGUCAGCGCAGGGGUGACACGGAAUGGGAGCCGGCCGCGGAGGUGGUUUUCCGUGGUCAAGCACGCAGCCAGUCAUGUAGGCAAAUCCGCAUGGCGCGCAUGGCGAGGUGUGAUGAUGGGAGCCGUUAUGGUUCGAUAUCCGGUUGUCCAGGCCGUCGAGAAAAGCCUCGGCGUGAGGGCCAUGGCCGCCCGUACCCCAAACCGACACUGGUGGUCAGGUAGAGAAUACCAAGGCGAUCGAGCGAAUCCUGGUCAAGGAACUCGGCAAAUCACUCCCGUGCCUUCGGUAUAAGGGAGACCCACUGGGGUGAAGGACCUUGCGUCCGGAGCUUUGGUGGGUGGCACAGACCAGGGGGUAGCGACUGUUUACCAAAAACACAGGUGCAUGCGAAGGCGAAAGCCGCUGUAUAUGCACUGACGCCUGCCCGGUGCCGGAAGGUUAAGAGGAUCCGUCAAUCCUUCGGGAUGAAGCGGUGAAUUCAAGCCCCGGUAAACGGCGGUGGUAACUAUAACCAUCCUAAGGUAGCGAAAUUCCUUGUCGGGUAAGUUCCGACCUGCACGAAUGGCGUAACGA
Molecule: ribosomal RNA, 1391 nt
Filed under: human gut metagenome
Description: bacterial LSU rRNA
Rfam family: Bacterial large subunit ribosomal RNA
Source: RNAcentral